ACUCCUACGGGAGGCAGCAGUGAGGAAUAUUGCACAAUGGGCGCAAGCCUGAUGCAGCCAUGCCGCGUGAGUGAUGAAGGCCCUAGGGUUGUAAAACUCUUUCAGCGGUGAAGAUAAUGACGGUAACCACAGAAGAAGCCUCGGCUAACUCCGUGCCAGCAGCCGCGGUAA
RNAcentral lists this ribosomal RNA (171 nucleotides) under uncultured bacterium. Its description in RNAcentral is "partial 16S ribosomal RNA". It matches the Rfam family "Bacterial small subunit ribosomal RNA", at positions 335 to 523 of the family's 1533-position model. The record is from RNAcentral.